This 524-nucleotide ribosomal RNA is filed under the name soil fungal sp. DM2-112. Its description in RNAcentral is "eukaryotic LSU rRNA". It matches the Rfam family "Eukaryotic large subunit ribosomal RNA", at positions 114 to 653 of the family's 3401-position model. Lineage: Eukaryota; Fungi. The record is from RNAcentral.
UUUGAAAGCUGGCUCCUUCGGGGUCCGCAUUGUAAUUUGCAGAGGAUGCUUCGGGAGCGGCCCCCAUCUAAGUGCCCUGGAACGGGCCGUCAUAGAGGGUGAAAAUCCCGUCUGGGAUGGGGUGUCCGCGCCCGUGUGAAGCUCCUUCGACGAGUCGAGUUGUUUGGGAAUGCAGCUCUAAAUGGGUGGUAAAUUUCAUCUAAAGCUAAAUAUUGGCCGGAGACCGAUAGCGCACAAGUAGAGUGAUCGAAAGAUGAAAAGCACUUUGAAAAGAGAGUUAAACAGCACGUGAAAUUGUUGAAAGGGAAGCGCUUGCGACCAGACUCGCCCACGGGGUUCAGCCGGCAUUCGUGCCGGUGUACUUCCCCGCGGGCGGGCCAGCGUCGGUUUGGGCGGCCGGUCAAAGGCCCUCGGAAUGUAACGCCCCCCGGGGCGUCUUAUAGCCGAGGGUGCCAUGCGGCCAGCCCAGACCGAGGAACGCGCUUCGGCUCGGACGCUGGCAUAAUGGUCGUAAGCGACCCGUC